RNAcentral lists this long non-coding RNA (7188 nucleotides) under Ananas comosus (pineapple). RNAcentral describes it as "long non-coding RNA (ACOM_LNC017363)". Lineage: Eukaryota; Viridiplantae; Streptophyta; Magnoliopsida; Poales; Bromeliaceae. The record is from RNAcentral.
CACGUUCUUAAGAUUGGAGAUCUCUCUGAUGGAAAGAAGAUUUAUCAUCUCAACAUGUAAGUGUCGAACUGGUUUUGGAAUAAUAUUUCCUGCAACAUCACCUCCUAUUCUUUUGCAUUCCCCUAGAGAAACAGAUUGUGCUAGGUCAUGCAGCAGAUCGUGCAUAAAAUACUCUUUAGUAAUUUUCACCAGAUUAUCACUAGUUUCGCAAGUAAAGAAUGAUUUUCUUGUCAGAAGAUUUAAAUACUCAUUUCCGAUAUCCUCUGGCCUUUGCCUGUCGCAAAUAGAUUGCGGAAUCAGACUUGAACCAAUCCACAUAUUGACCAACUUUUUCCUCUUAAACAUAUAAUCUUGUGGAAAUAAACUACAAUAUCUAAAGCAGAGUUGUAAGUUUGUGGAUAAGUGAUCGUAGCUUAAUCUCAAAAUUGUCAUGAUGCCAUCCUUUCCUAGUUGUAAUUUCAUGAUGUCUUCUUCCAAGAUUUUCUUCCAAUAUUCAUAGUCCAUAUAGGAGUUCAGCAUUCCUCCCAUAACUUUUAUUGCCAAUGGGUAUCCUCCAAGUUUCUUCGCUAUAUGUUGACCAAUUGGUUGCAAGUUUUUAUAAUCAUCAGGAUUCACACCGAGGAAUGCAUGCUUAUUGAAAAGCGACAUAUAGUCGCUCUCCUCCAACUCAUUUAGAUUUAAUGAUUCCCGUUUGCAUUUCAUUACAUUUGCCACCAUAUCCGCAACUGAACCCAUUCGAGUUGUCAACAGGAUCUUGCUUCCUCUCUGUCCGGAUUUCAAAGGAGCAACCAAUUUCUCCCACUCCGUCAUGUUAUCAUCGUUCCAAACAUCAUCUAGUAUGAGCAAAAACCUCUUCGAUGUUAGUUUUUCUUUAAGUUUCUCAUGGAGUGCAUUUAGACGCUUGUCGCCAAAAUUCUCACUACUUACACAUUCUAAAAUUUUUCUUGUUAUCACAGUUACAUCGAAAUCCUGAGAAAUGCAAGCCCACAUAAUCGGGUCGAAGUACACUCGCACUCUUUCAUUACUAUAGACUAGUUGAGCAAGAGUGGUCUUCCCGAGCCCACCCAUACCAACAAUUGUGAAAGCAGAGACAUCAACAUCGGCAUCUCCCGGGUUGAUCAGCCAUUUGACUAUCAGGCCCGUCUCCUUGUCUCGUCCGAGCACCUCACUUUUGAUUACCAAGGAGCUAGUCUCGCGAGCAUUCUUGAUUUCCUCGAGCUUUUGACGCUUAACACUAGGAUUAGAAUUUUUAAGAUAAAUAAAUAAAUUUAUUUAAAAAAAUAUAUUUUGUAAUUAAAAAUAUAUGUGUGGGUACCCGUGGGUACCCGUGGGUUACCCAAAAUGCUCACAACUUAAUGGGUACCCACCCGUUUUACCCAUAAUUUUUUGGGUUGAAAAAGUUGCUACCCAUACCCGCAAAUUUGCGGAUAACCAACGGGCACCCGCGGGUUUGGGUCGAGAUUGCCGGGUCUAAUUGGUACCUUAAUAACAUCUAAUUGAUUUGAGUCUUGAUUUAGGAAAUUGAUUAUAAAAAUUACAUAUGCCUGCAUAAGGGAGGGUGGAGCAACUGCGUGCGCCAAAAUAUUACCUGCACCUGGUGUACAAGCACAUAUCUAUACACCGCAUCUCUGAAAUGGACAAAUGUUUUAGAACUAAGAAAAUUAAAAUCUAACUCACUGAAUGUUAAAGUGAUUUUAGACCAAAAAUGAUCUUUCCCUUCAUAAAGCAUUUGAUGAACUUGUCUUUCAAAAUCUAAUUCUUAUUUUUCUCUCUAAAAUCAGAAGUAUUUAAAACCUGCUAUCUCUAAUCUGAAUCUAAUUUUGAACUCAAAUUUUAAGCUUAAAUUUUAUUUUUAGGUUCAAAUUUUUAAUUUAAAUUUAGAUUUUUAAAUUUUAAAUUUUAAAUUUCAAAUUUAAGUUUUUAAAUCUUAAAUUUCAAGUUAUCAAUUUUUAGUUUUCAAAAUUUGAAUUUAGAUAUUAAUUUUUAGAUUUUAAAUCUCAAAUUUUAAAUUCAAUUUCAUAAUUUUUUUUAAUCUACUCUUUUUAGAUAUUUUAGGUUUAAUAUAUCAGACAAAUGUAUAUCGUUGUGUGGCAUAUAGCGUAUUUAUACACUGGAGGUACAUGCAUUUGUUCUUUCUGCAUAUCUGGUGUUUGGUAACACAUAAACUUAGUUAAAAAUAGUUUAAGAGAUAUUAAAUUAUAGAAAAAAUAAUAAUCCACUUGUUAGUAUUUUGUUUGGCGUAAAACAAAUUGAGAUUGAAGCACAAGUGCUCGGUUUGAAAGAAGAGAAAAUAAAGUAUGUAGGAAAGUAGAUGUGGGACGGAGGACAGAUACUACUGACUUUUUAGUUUUGUUUUUUCAUCCGAAAAUAAUUAUUUGUCACUUAAAGUAUAUAAUUAUGUCACUGGAAAGUGUAAAAUACGCAAACCAAUAUCAAAAAGCUAAUAUUAGUAUUUGACCAAAACUAUUUUCGACCUGAGCAUUUAUUUGAAUGCAUGAAUAUCUUAUCCGGUCUAUCUGUUAUGUUUAUUUAAGAACUGUAUAGUAUUUGGUAGAUUAGAAUUUCCAUCAAUUUAAUGGUUUUAAUUAUCUUUUGCAAACAAACUGAAACAACCAAUAGCUAAUAGAGGUAUUAAACUUCACAAAUUUUCGCUUUAACUAACUCAAAUAACUGAAAUAAAAAAAACCAUAUUAGAAUCUAAGAACAGUGUCAAUAAAAAACAAAAAUAAUUGCCAAGUUGAGGGGCCUAUUCGCAAUGGCGUAUAGUUGCAGAGGUCUCAUUUAGAAUUUUACCUCAAACAAAAAAAAAAAAAAAUUAUGUCUCUGAAAACAACAGUUCGAAAAAUAAGGAACUGCACAAAGGAGCGUAGACAGAAAAUUUGAAUCAAAACCAACCUUACAGAGAUUGAAGACUGAACUGAACAUCAGCAACAGUUGUCGGUCUGUUUGAGUUUUGAGUGUGCUUUUCUGUCGUCAAUGCAUUAGGAAAUUAAUUUUUUUUUCUGUUUUGGAAAAUCGUAAAGAAAGAAAAAGCAAGCAGCUGCAAGACGUGGUUGCAAGUUGAUGCCUGCUGCAGUGUAGGCCUCAUUUUCAAUUUACGGUGAAAUGUCGGUAUAAGUGUUAUCGACGGAGUGUCUGUCAAAUUUGCCCCGGAAAGUGGAUACAACCUGCAUUAAAAACUUGGAGUUGUUAUACUGCUAGAGAAACAUAAAAAUUGAUUGAUGUUUUAGCUACCUCAGAGAAGCUCAACAACUUCAUCAUAUAACAGACAAAAACAGAACAAGCUUAUGACUGGGCUAUGCGAUUUGCUAUUUGUGCAGGAAUCAAACACAAAAUUAUCUUUAAUAUAUACGCAUAUAAAUUGAGGGGAAACAAAAUUGAAGCAUUUAAUCUCCUUGCCGCAAAAAAGAGCAAUUUCUUUCUUAAAGAUUUUACAUUAGUUCGGCUGCUACAAACACACACACACACACACACACACACACACAAACAAAAAUGCAUGGAAUAUAUGUUACUCUGAUCCUGCACCAACAAAACUGAAGAACACAAGCAUGCAGUAAGACAUUAGUCUUUUUUUUCCAUAUUCUUAUGAAUAAAUUGAUGGACCAUGACCAUGUAUGGGAGUCAUAUAUGACAAUAAGAGCCUUUUUCACUAUUGCGCCAAAAAAGAAAGAGAAGAGAAAAUAAGUAGUAUGAUUUUAAUCUUGUUUUAUGCCAGAUAAGAAAAAUAGAUUCGAGCACCAAUAGGGGGUCCUAAUCCUUACAUGUUCCUGCACCACCAAAAUAGAACAUAAGCAGCUACUCUUGCUUUAUAUUCUUGAAAAAUUUGAAAGAAAUAUAUAUAUAUAGGAGUGCUAUACCAUUACUACUGCCCUGAACCAAGAAAUUUAACAAACUUAAAAAGCUUUUGUCAUGCUUCUCUUAUGUUCUAACUCAUCAGCGAGACUUCGCAUCUUGUUUGUACUCCUAGAGAGAGAAAUUACUGCACAAUUAGUCAUAUUUAACUUUAGAAAGCAAUUGACAUGCUAGCGCAAUUAACAUAUGUUAUAUUCAUGACAUUGUUUGUUAAGACUAGCACAAUGUAUUAUAUUCAUGACUAGCACAAUAUAUUCAUGACAUUGCGCUUUUUGGGGUUUUUUGGGGCUUUGAUUUUGGUUUUUGGUUUUUUUUGGUUUCUGGGUUCCUGCUCCUAGAUCUUGAUUGCGAUCAACCCAUGCUGUUCUUGCCGUUCUGUUUUUUCGCCUUACUAGACUGCUCCUAUACUCUCUGUUCUGACUUUGUUAAAAUAGGGUAUACCCCUGUUUAAUCAAAAAAAAAAAAGACUAGCACAAUGUAUUAUAGGAGGCAAUUAGUGCUUUAUUCCCUUUUUAUGUAUCCAAAUCAUAAAAUGAGAGUACAAAAUGUAAAAAUUCCAUUGAGGAUGCUAAUUAAAAAGGAACCUGGCUACUCUUGCAUUAUCUGAAAAAAGGUAAGCAAUUAAUCCCGUAAGAAAUGAGAUAACUUUGUUAAGACUGAAUGAGAUGUAUGUAGUUCAUUAAUUAAGACCAAAAUGAAUUGCAUUAUUUACAACAAAGGGUUACGAGAUGAAGGGGGGUAGAGUGUACUUACAAUUAAUAUGCAUCAUCAUCACGAUCUGCAAAUAAUGCUAUGUAAUCCUCACAAAACGGAUGUUGGCAAUCUUGGGCCAAUCAAGGCCUAUAUUCUCUUGGCAUCGCUCCUUCAACACAGGGUGACAGCUGUUGAUGACUAGACAACGCAGUGAAGUAGGUAGAUCUGGAAGUGACUGGAUGAGAUUAGCAUCUUCCACACCCAAAAUGACGAGGGAGCACAGUUUUGUCAUGCUGCGGGGUAGGGACUGAAGGGAGCGUGCUUCUCGUAUGCAUAAUUGUCCGGGGGGCAGCGUGAUUUUGUAGUAGCCAUUCCUCAGGUAAGGAGGCGAGAGCGCGUAAGCAUCAGAGAGAUGUCAAACGAGCAGACGGAGGAGAGACUUCUCAAUGGUCUAUGAGCAGGAGCGCGUGGUGUCAAUUGAUUAUAACCAUUCUUCAAAAACAGUCCAGUACUGUAUUCUUUUUUUGGCCGACAUCGUUGGGAAGGAGGCUGCAGCAGAAGGGCAACUUCAAUUAGCUUGUCACCACCUUUCAAUUAUCUAAAGAACGGAGCGAUACGAGAGCUUGUAUUCCACCAAUGAUGACAAGUUCUUUGCAGUUCUUAUAUUCUAAGCGGGAAAGCAUCGUCCACCGUGACACACUUUGUGCGGGGGAAGGGAUGCUAUACUUGCACAAUCGAGUAAUUCCACCAUAUAAAGAGGUUAAAUGCCGCUGACCACAGCAGUGGACCUCGAGGUCGCCAAAUGACAAUAGUGAGAUGACCGAGUACAGAGGGCAGUUCGAUGUCUGAGAUCCUACUUUUGUCAACUUGCGGCAAUUUUCUAUGUGCAAGGUUUUCAUGGCUUUGAAUUCCCAAAAAGCUCCGAUGGAACAUAUUCGAUCUUCUUACAGUGUCUGAUGACUAAGCUUUCAAGAGGCCUGAAAAUGUUCUUGCUACCGCAAGAAAAGAAAGAAAAGAUAUUUAAGUCUGGGCAAUCACAGCCAUGUAAAUACGAAUUGGUGUUUGGAUACAAGGGUAAAGUUUAAAUUGCCCCCGUGUGAUUUAACUCAUUUUAAACUUGACCUUGCAGUUCAAAAAGUUUUACUUUGCCCUCCUGUAGUUUAAUUUUUAUUUCAUCAAAAAAGUUCUAUAUGAAAUAGUGUGGCCAAUUAAAAAUAUUUAAAAAAUACUUUUUGAACUACAGGAGAGGGGGGUGAAAAUGAUAUUUUUGAACUACAGGAGGGGCAAGUGAAAAUGAGCUAAACCCAGGGGAGAAAUUUAAAGUUUACAAAAUAAAGCACUUACAUUGUUGUUUGCGUAAUUUGAUUUAUUGUUGAAAAGCGAUCAAUCCGACAUUAUAAAUAUGCAAAUCUCUUGACCAUAGAUGCAGAGUAGGAAUUCCCCUCAAAUUAGGGCAAUCAGAAAUAGACAUAGACUGAAGUUGAGGAAACAUGCACCUAUCAUCAAUUCCAAUCCACUCCUCCAAGUUAGGCAUGUCCCAUAACAAUAACAUCUUCAACGAUGGAAAGGCACAUCCACUGUUGCUUCCAAAGAAUGAACAAUCUAUUUGCUUUACUGUAUGCAGUCCCUGCAAGAAAAGGUGCCGGAGCGAAGAAAACUGCCAAAGAGGCGGGAGCUGCUCCCAUCUUUUACAAUCAAUUAGUUCGAUGGAUGUCAAAUUGACAAGAGACAGAUUUGUCAUCCAACAUGGAGAUUUAGCACCGUGGUAUUGUUCAAUGCGCAUUUUCUUGAGAUUGAUAUGUGGACAGAGGUUAUCGAGGAGCUGCUCAUCCGCUUCUGCACUAUUGGAGUGGCCUUCGGACCAUCGCAAUCCCAACGAUUUGAGAUAUUCUUUCUCAUUCAGCUUGGCCUCUGUAGCUUCUUCAGAAGUCCUCACAUUUUCAAGUUUCAUAAUACACAGGUGAUGAAGGUCCCUGAGGUUCUUGAGUUCACCGAUUUUGUAACCACUCUUCUCUCGGACAACAAAAUUUUGUAAUUUGUGGAUGAAAGGUAGUUUGCUAAUAUAAGGAAUAUUUUCUAUCACAUGAUAGGGAACAUCUAAUGAACGCAAAUUGACCAAGUUGGUCAAGCCAUCAUAUUCAAUACUUUCAUUCACAACUUUCCAUAGUGAAAGAGAUAGGUAGCGGAGGUGUAUCAAGCUACUAAGUGCAUUGGGCAGUUUAUAAGAGUGAAAAUUCACAUCUAAGAUCAAUAAGCGUAACUUUCUAAACCCUUUUAUAACCUCGAUAAAUUCAAGUGCAUGAUCUGCAUUAUGCCUAUUGUCCUCUUUAACAGAAAUGACUAGAGUGUGCACAUUCUUAAGAUUGGAGAUCUCUCUAAUAGAAAGAAGAUUAAGCAUUUCGACAGAUAAGUGUCGAACUGUUUUUGGAAUAAUAUUUUCUGCAACAUCACCUCCUAUUUUGAUGCAUUCCCCUAGAGAAACAGAUUGUGCUAGGUCAUGCAGCAGAUCGUGCAUAAAAUACUUUUUAGUAAUUUCCACCCUAUUAUCAUGGGUUUUACAGGUAAAGAAUGAUUUUCUUGUCAAAAGAUUUAAAUACUCCUUUCCGAUAUCCUCUGGCCUUUCCCUGCCACAAAUAGAUUGUG